GAUGAACGCUAGCGGCAGGCCUAACACAUGCAAGUCGAGGGGUAUAAGUCUUCGGACUUUGAGACCGGCGCACGGGUGCGAAACGCGUAUGCAAUCUACCUUGUACAGAGGGAUAGCCCAGAGAAAUUUGGAUUAAUACCUCAUAGUAUAUUUGAAUGGCAUCAUUUAAAUAUUAAAGUUCCAACGGUACAAGAUGAGCAUGCGUCCCAUUAGUUAGUUGGUGUGGUAACGGCACACCAAGACGAUGAUGGGUAGGGGUCCUGAGAGGGAGAUCCCCCACACUGGGACUGAGACACGGACCAGACUCCUACGGGAGGCAGCAGUGAGGAAUAUUGGUCAAUGGAGGCAACUCUGAACCAGCCAUGCCGCGUGCAGGAUGACGGUCCUAUGGAUUGUAAACUGCUUUUAUACGGGAAGAAAAAGAGUUACGUGUAACUUAUUGACGGUACCGUAAGAAUAAGGAUCGGCUAACUCCGUGCCAGCCGCCGCAGUAA
Molecule: ribosomal RNA, 494 nt
Filed under: uncultured bacterium
Lineage: Bacteria
Description: partial 16S ribosomal RNA
Rfam family: Bacterial small subunit ribosomal RNA
Source: RNAcentral